UACGUAGGGUGCGAGCGUUAAUCGGAAUUACUGGGCGUAAAGCGUGCGUAGGCGGUUCUCCAAGUCCGUUGUGAAAGCCCCGGGCUCAACCUGGGAAUGGCGAUGGUGACUGCAAGGCUAGAGUUUGGCAGAGGGGGGUAGAAUUCCACGUGUAGCAGUGAAAUGCGUAGAUAUGUGGAGGAACACCGAUGGCGAAGGCAGCCCCCUGGGUCAAAACUGACGCUCAUGCACGAAAGCGUGGGGAGCAAACAGG
RNAcentral lists this ribosomal RNA (253 nucleotides) under uncultured bacterium. RNAcentral describes it as "partial 16S ribosomal RNA". It matches the Rfam family "Bacterial small subunit ribosomal RNA", at positions 524 to 776 of the family's 1533-position model. The record is from RNAcentral.